AGUGAACGCUGGCGGUAGGCCUAACACAUGCAAGUCGAACGGCAGCACAGUAAGAGCUUGCUCUUACGGGUGGCGAGUGGCGGACGGGUGAGGAAUACAUCGGAAUCUACUUUUUCGUGGGGGAUAACGUAGGGAAACUUACGCUAAUACCGCAUACGACCUACGGGUGAAAGCAGGGGAUCUUCGGACCUUGCGCGAUUGAAUGAGCCGAUGUCGGAUUAGCUAGUUGGCUGGGUAAAGGCCCACCAAGGCGACGAUCCGUAGCUGGUCUGAGAGGAUGAUCAGCCACACUGGAACUGAGACACGGUCCAGACUCCUACGGGAGGCAGCAGUGGGGAAUAUUGGACAAUGGGCGAAAGCCUGAUCCAGCCAUACCGCGUGAGUGAUGAAGGCCUUCGGGUUGUAAAGCCCUUUUGUUGGGAAAGAAAAGCAGCAGAUUAAUACCCCGCUGUUCUGACGGUACCCAAAGAGUAAGCACCGGCUAACUUCGUG
Molecule: ribosomal RNA, 492 nt
Filed under: uncultured bacterium
Lineage: Bacteria
Description: partial 16S ribosomal RNA
Rfam family: Bacterial small subunit ribosomal RNA
Source: RNAcentral